This 395-nucleotide ribosomal RNA is filed under the name uncultured bacterium. Its description in RNAcentral is "bacterial SSU rRNA". It matches the Rfam family "Bacterial small subunit ribosomal RNA", at positions 505 to 898 of the family's 1533-position model. The record is from RNAcentral.
GUGCCAGCAGCCGCGGUAAUACGUAGGGAGCGAGCGUUGUCCGGAAUUACUGGGCGUAAAGGGCGCGUAGGCGGGAUCUUAAGUCAGGUGUGAAAACUCUGGGCUCAACUCAGAGACUGCAUUUGAAACUGGGAUUCUUGAGGGCAGGAGAGGAAAGUGGAAUUCCUAGUGUAGCGGUGAAAUGCGUAGAUAUUAGGAGGAACACCAGUGGCGAAGGCGACUUUCUGGACUGUACCUGACGCUGAGGCGCGAAAGCGUGGGGAGCGAACGGGAUUAGAUACCCCGGUAGUCCACGCUGUAAACGAUGGGUACUAGGUGUAGGAGGUAUCGACCCCUUCUGUGCCGCAGUUAACGCAAUAAGUACCCCGCCUGGGGAGUACGGCCGCAAGGUUGAA